This 564-nucleotide ribosomal RNA is filed under the name uncultured bacterium. RNAcentral's name for it is "bacterial SSU rRNA". It matches the Rfam family "Bacterial small subunit ribosomal RNA", at positions 338 to 916 of the family's 1533-position model. The record is from RNAcentral.
CCUACGGGAGGCAGCAGUGGGGAAUUUUCCGCAAUGGGCGAAAGCCUGACGGAGCAAUACCGCGUGAGGGAGGAAGGCUCUUGGGUUGUAAACCUCUUUUCUCAGGGAAGAAGAUCUGACGGUACCUGAGGAAUCAGCAUCGGCUAACUCCGUGCCAGCAGCCGCGGUAAUACGGAGGAUGCAAGCGUUAUCCGGAAUGAUUGGGCGUAAAGCGUCCGCAGGUGGCGAUUCAAGUCUGCUGUCAAAGGUCGGGGCUCAACCCUGAACAGGCAGUGGAAACUGAACAGCUAGAGUGCGGUAGGGGUAGAGGGAAUUCCCGGUGUAGCGGUGAAAUGCGUAGAGAUCGGGAAGAACACCAGUGGCGAAAGCGCUCUACUAAGCCUGCACUGACACUCAGGGACGAAAGCUAGGGGAGCGAAUGGGAUUAGAUACCCCAGUAGUCCUAGCCGUAAACGAUGGAUACUAGGCGUGGCUUGUAUCGACCCGAGCCGUGCCGGAGCUAACGCGUUAAGUAUCCCGCCUGGGGAGUACGCGCGCAAGCGUGAAACUCAAAUGAAUUGACGG